Long non-coding RNA from Tympanuchus pallidicinctus (lesser prairie-chicken), 1651 nucleotides. RefSeq lists it as uncharacterized. The record is from RefSeq and is a predicted model, not a curated record. The transcript is spliced from 3 exons. Lineage: Eukaryota; Metazoa; Chordata; Aves; Galliformes; Phasianidae.
CUUCUUUGUGAAUUCUUUUAUUGUGUGCCUCAUUCCUUGAAUGACUGACUGCAUCUAUGGUGAUUGCAAUACGUUCUUAUCUCAACCAUUUAGAAAGAUCUCCAAAGCUGGAGGAGCCAUGAAACUCUCAGGAUGAGAUGCACAAGUGGCUGAGGAUGAUUUAGUCUGCUCUCAUGCUGAAGGUUUGUCUCCAGCUUUUCACCACCGAAAGUCUCCUCCUCUUUCAAAGUCAAUAUAUGGGAGGAGUUUUAUUCAAAAACUAAGCUUGAGGAGUGAAAGGACUGGUAGACUGAAGAACCAUACAAACUUUGCUGUCAUAACUGAGGUGUUGAAGCAACAGCCACAUGCAGGAGCCACAGCAGUUCUUCCCCUUCUGGCAGCAACUAUGAUUUAUUUCAGCUUGAACUGACCAGGGAGCCAAUACUGUGCUAAAAGGGUGGUGUGCAGGAAUAACAUCCCAUGUUUCAUGAAGGUUAUUAAGUUCACACACAUUAAGAUUAGUCGGGAGGGCUCAUACAUGAUACAUCAAGAGAAGGAGAGAACUAGAAAUGGGAAAAUCCCUCAUGGCCACGCAGGAAGAGAAGCAGUGGCAGUGCCCAGGUAUGUGCCAUACCUUAGCUUUUCUAUAUUGGUCUGCAGGUGAUUUCUCCUCAGUUACAUUUUUCCCAUGGUCAUGAUAUAGUUUUCAUCAGGUCAUACUCUAACUCCCUACUGCUUUCAGUCCAAUUUGUUAAGGUUAUUUUGAAUUCUAAACCUGUCUCCAAUCAAGCAGCAUCAGUCUGUCUCAGUUAUCUGUUGUCUGUGGAUUUAUUAGGUAUAUCCUAUAAUGCCAUUAUGUGGUUCUAUGAUUAGUAAAAUUUAUACUAAAAUUAUUAUUUUUAUUUAAAAUAAAAAAAAAAAAAUCAAUAAAAUCAACAAUUCUGAUAAAAACUAAAACAUCAAAUACUGAUAGAUCCAGACACAACUUGCAGAAUCUUUCUGGCUACAUCUGCCUUGACAGAAAAACACUGAUAGCUAUUUGCUAAGUACGUUCUUUCAGACAUCAGUCCCCUCCUUAUGUUUAGCUGUGGUACCCAUUAUUUCUUUCUUGUGAGAAUGUUAAUGGAAAUAGCUAUCUCAUGCAGUUAGAAGGGAUGAAUUUCAGACUCAAAAGAAUAAAGUACAAGGUGGAAAAAAUUCUUAAAUCUAUUGUCUUGUAUAUAACACUUUCUUAACACCACUUCCCAAGAAGAGAAUUAAUUUAUUAGAAGGUGUUACUGACGCACAUUGAAUACAAGUGAAAUGAAUCUUCUCUACUGAGGCUUAACUCAAUGACCUCUUGAUUGGAGUGAGCAAAAGCACACACCUGAUUAAUGGUGACAGUUCUGUCCGUGAAUGCUACCUCAUUUUUGGUCAUUUGUGUGGCUGUAUUCUUUCAUAUACUUUCCACAUGUCUCUAAAUAUAUUUCUGGCAGCACAGAAUCUGAGCUGGAUCUAAAUCCAUGCUAUUCCAUUCAUUGCUUGGGAAUUUCUCUUGUUUUGUAUCAGUCAAAUUGACUUACACAUUCUGUGUCUUGAAGGAAACAUAGUUUAAUUCAGGUUCAUUUCUGCUAUACCUUGAUAAAGUAACUGCAGUUCAGGUAUUAAGAUUUUUGCAAAUACUUCUUAGUCU